RNAcentral lists this ribosomal RNA (486 nucleotides) under uncultured bacterium. Its description in RNAcentral is "partial 16S ribosomal RNA". It matches the Rfam family "Bacterial small subunit ribosomal RNA", at positions 28 to 523 of the family's 1533-position model. The record is from RNAcentral.
GACGAACGCUGGCGGCGUGCUUAACACAUGCAAGUCGAACGGAUCUUCUCUGGACAGUAAUGUUUGGGGUUGGUUAGUGGCGAACGGGUGAGUAACACGUGAGACACCGGCCCUGACGACGGGGAUAACUGACCGAAAGGUCUGCUAAUACCCGAUGUCCUCGCGGGAUCGCAUGGUUGUGUGAGGAAAAGGAUUCCGCUUUAGGAGGGUCUCGCGGGCUAUCAGCUUGUUGGUGAGGUAAUGGCUCACCAAGGCGACGACGGCUAGCUGGUCUCAGAGGACGACCAGCCACACGGGGACUGAGACACGGCCCAGACUCCUACGGGAGGCAGCAGUGGGGGAUCUUGCGCAAUGGGCGGAAGCCUGACGCAGCAACGCCGCGUGUGGGAUGACGGCUUUCGGGUUGUAAACCACUUUCAGCAGGAACGAAAUUGACGGUACCUGCAGAAGAAGCACCGGCCAACUACGUGCCAGCCGCCGCAGUAA